RNAcentral lists this ribosomal RNA (507 nucleotides) under Triticum aestivum (bread wheat). RNAcentral describes it as "partial small subunit ribosomal RNA". Lineage: Eukaryota; Viridiplantae; Streptophyta; Magnoliopsida; Poales; Poaceae. The record is from RNAcentral.
AUGGCAGCAGGAACGGCCUGGGCGGGAUGCCAUCUCGCCCACCUCCCCCAAAUUCCCAUCUCGGUCAGCAUCCCCGUGACCGGCGCUGCCGCUAGCAGCAGGAGGAGGAGGUGCGGCUUAGCGGCGGCGGCGGGGGCAGCAGCAGCAGCAGCGACAGACGGGCGGGUGCUGGGCCGGCGCCCCGUGGAGGACGUGUACAAGGUGCGCGUGGUGCGCGGCGCGGCGGCGCAGGAGCGGGUGGAGGCGCUGCGGGCGAUGGAGACGUGGUCGACGUGGCGCACGGGGGGCCGCUGCCACCUGGCCUGGGACUGGCAGGUGGACCAGCUCGUGUACAUCGUCGCCGGCGAGGUCCGCGUGCUCCCCGCCGGGGCCACCACCGGCGAGGAGUACAUGCACUUCGUGGCCGGCGACCUGGUCCGGUACCCCAAGUGGCUGGAGGCGGACCUCCACUUCGACGGGCCCUACGAGGAGCGCUACCGCUUCCUCGCCUACGGCGACGACAACUGA